Molecule: ribosomal RNA, 1907 nt
Filed under: freshwater metagenome
Description: bacterial LSU rRNA
Rfam family: Bacterial large subunit ribosomal RNA
Source: RNAcentral
AUUCUGGGUAUUAUUGGCGUUGGGGCGGGUUUAUUAGCUUUAAUAGCCUAUUUUCCAGGUAAUUUUGCCGCUAUUGAACCUCUCCAUCCUUUAAUUCUUUUAACCUUAUUGUCACUUUCCCUGACCAUGGUGACAACGGCGAUUUUGUUAGCCCGGCGCUCGGAACAAUUCAGCGUGGUUUUAGUCUGGGGAAUGUUGGUUUCUUUGUUUAUUUUUGUCAAUUCUCCCCUGUGGAUCAGCGAAUAGUUUAACAGAAGAAGAUAAGACUAGUAGAGAUGAAAGUCCAGUAGUAUAUGUAUCAGACGAGGAAGAAGAGGGUGAAAGCCCCGUAACCGAAAACCUGACCGGCCCUAGAGGUACCCUGAGUAGCACCGGACACGUGAAACCUGGUGUGAAGUCACGCAGACCACUGCGUAAGGCUAAAUACAGAAUGUCGACCGAUAGUGAAGAGUACCGCGAGGGAAAGGUGAAAAGCACCCCUGUUAGGGGAGUGAAAAGUACCUGAAACCUGUUGCUUACAAGCGGUCGGAGCCCCCUCGUGGGGUGACGGCGUACCUUUUGCAUAAUGGGUCUGGGAGUUAACGUAAGGAGCCAGCCUAAGGUCCCUCAGGACCGGAGGCGCAGCGAAAGCGAGUCUGAACAGGGCGCAUAGUUCCUUGCGUUAUACCCGAAGCGGAGGUGAUCUACCCAUGACCAGGUUGAAGCCCAAGUAACAUUGGGUGGAGGACCGAACUGAUGGCACUUGAGAAUGCCCCGGAUGAGUUGUGGGUAGGAGUGAAAGGCUAAUCAAACCCCGUAAUAGCUGGUUCUCUCCGAAAUAUAUUUAGGUAUAGCGUCCAGCGCUGACCCGUGGGGGUAGAGCACUGAAAAGGCUAGGGGACACACCCGUCUACCAACCCUUAUCAAACUCCGAAUACCACGGGGCGAAGCUGGGCAGUCAGGCAGUGGGGGAUAAGCUUCAUUGCCGAGAGGAAAACAGUCCAGACCACCAAUUAAGGCCCCAAAGACGUAGCUAAGUGGAUUAAAGAAUGUGAACUUGCACAGACAAUAGGGAUGUUGGCUUAGAGGCAGCCACCAUUUAAACAGUGCGUAACAGCUGACCUAUCGAGUGAGUUUGCGUCUAAGAUGAUCGGGACUAAGCGACGCGCCGAAGUUGUGGGCUGCAGCAAUGCAGCAGUAGGAGAGCGUUCCGGCCAGCGGCGAAGCGGAAGCGGUAAGCGACCGUGGAGCGGCCGGAAGUGAGUAUCCAGACAUAAGUAACGAUAAGAAUGGUCAAAAUCCAUUCCGCCGUAAGGAUAAGGUUUCCAGGGCAAGGGUCGUCCCCCCCUGGGUUAGUCGGGAGCUAAGCCGAGGCCGUAAGGAGUAGGCGAUGCACAUCAGGUUAAUAUUCCUGAACCAAGUAGAGAGGACGGGAUCGUGGAGUCAGCAGACCUUACUGACUUGGCAGUCCAAGGCUACGGCCGAGGACGCGCUGGCGAAGCGAUCUCCAGGAAAAGCCUCUACACUAAGCCCGUACCGCAAACCGACACAGGUAUCCGGGAUGAGCAUUCUAAGGCGCGUGAGUUAAACCUCCUCAAGGAACUCGACAAAUUAACCCCGUAUCUUCGGUAUAAGGGGUGCUCCGGGCAACCGGAGUCGCAGUGAAGAGGCCCUACCGACUGUUUAGCAAAAACACAGCUCUCUGCUAAGUCGCAAGACGACGUAUAGGGAGUGACGUGUGACCAAUGCGGAAAGGUGAAAGCUGGAGCUGCAAGGUUCCGGUCUAAGCCCCCGUGAAUGUCGGCCGUAACUAUAACGGUCCUAAGGUAGCGAAAUUCCUUGUCGGGUAAGUUCCGACCUGCACGAAUGGCGUAACGAUGGCCACACUGUCUCCUCCCGAGACUCAGCGAAGUUGAAAUGUUUGUGAU